AUGUUUGAAAAAAUCAGAGAAGAGGGAGAUAUCAAAGGUAACAAAAAAUGAUAUAUACCCCCAUUGUUUUAGCAAGAAGCCUUUGAUAUCUCUCUCUUCUCUGAUUUUUUUCAAACAUU
Pelobates cultripes (western spadefoot toad) is the source of this 119-nucleotide non-coding RNA. The record is from the annotation of a GenBank genome assembly. NCBI's taxonomy places the organism in Eukaryota, Metazoa, Chordata, Amphibia, Anura, Pelobatidae.